CCCAACGGCGGUCCAAGUCCCUUGCAACUGGGCGUAUAGAGGGUGAGAAUCCCGUACGUGACCGUCCGUCAAUCCCAUGUGAGGUCCUUUCGACGAGUCGAGUUGUUUGGGAAUGCAGCUCCAAAUGGGUGGUAAAUUUCAUCUAAAGCUAAAUACCUGCCAGAGACCGAUAGCGCACAAGUAGAGUGAUCGAAAGAUGAAAAGCACUUUGAAAAGAGAGUCAAAUAGUACGUGAAAUUGUUGAAAGGGAAGCGCUUGCAACCACGACUCGCUCGCGGGAACUCGGCCGUCCCUCGGGGCGGUGCACUUUCCCGUGGCCGGGCCAGCAUCGGCUCGGGCGGUCGGAAAAAGGCACCGGGAACGUGACUCCUUUCGGGGAGUGUUAUAGCCCGGGGUGCAAUGCGACCUGCCGGGGCCGAGGACAGCGCUUCUGCUAGGAUGCUGGCGUAAUGGUUGCCAGCGACCCGUCUUGAAACACGGACCAAGGAGUCGACCAACCGCGCGAGUGUUUGGGUGUAAACCCCAUGGCGCGUAAUGAAAGUGAACGUAGGUGGGAGCCCCNCCGGGUGCACCAUCGACCGAUCUUGAUGUCUUCGGAUGGAUUCGAGUACGAGCACGGCUGGUCGGACCCGAAAGAUGGUGAACUAUGCGUGAAUAGGGUGAAGCCAGAGGAAACUCUGGUGGAGGCUCGCAGCGGUUCUGACGUGCAAAUCGAUCGUCAAAUUUGCGCAUAGGGGCGAAAGACUAAUCGAACCGUCUAGUAGCUGGUUCCUGUCGAAGUUUCCCUCAGGAUAGCAGCAACGAGAAACCAGUCUCAUGAGGUAGAGCGAACGAUUAGAGGCCUGGGGGUUGAAACAGCCUUCACCCAUUCUCGAACUUCGAAUAUGUGAGAAGUCCUUGUUACU
This 905-nucleotide ribosomal RNA is filed under the name Fissurina sp. Luecking 15070a. RNAcentral describes it as "eukaryotic LSU rRNA". It matches the Rfam family "Eukaryotic large subunit ribosomal RNA", at positions 169 to 1091 of the family's 3401-position model. The record is from RNAcentral. Lineage: Eukaryota; Fungi; Ascomycota; Lecanoromycetes; Ostropales; Graphidaceae.